Molecule: RNA transcript, 972 nt
Organism: Chinchilla lanigera (long-tailed chinchilla)
Lineage: Eukaryota; Metazoa; Chordata; Mammalia; Rodentia; Chinchillidae
Gene name: basic salivary proline-rich protein 4-like
Exons: 4
Source: RefSeq, a predicted model, not a curated record
CCUAUCCAUUUGACAUCUAAAUGUCAUAGCGACUUUUGGGAUAGUUUGCUAUCGGCAAAGGGGGACAGAGUCAGGGGGUGAAGGGGAAGUAGGGCCCAGUAGAGCCUCCAGGACCCUCGGCUGCCUCCUCUCCAGCCCCCUCCCCCAGGCCCGUGAGAAGUUGGGCCCAGCUGGAAGGGAUUGACUCGGCCGCCUCCUCGGCCUCGCCGGCCUCUCCGGAGAUUCCAGGCCCUACAGAGACCAGGACGCCCCGAGCGCCACCACCUCUCGUGCCAGUGCAGCCGGAAAGCCGCCAAUACCCACACUGGGCAAGAGAAUUCUGCACAGGGGGACGAUCGGAGGAGGCCAGGGCCAGGGAGGGACGGGGAGUGGGAGGGGCGCGAACCCACCGAGGCCGGAGCCAGGGGCUUCCUCCCGCCGGCAGCCCUGGCUCGGAGCUCCCCUCCCGAUGCCUUGCAAAAGGCGCUCAGAGAUGGCCUCCGUGGCCCCUUCUGUCCCUCCUCCAUCGUCCUCGCCUGGACGCCCCCUCCAGGAAGCAGCCACCCCUCUCUCCAGCGCCGAAUUUCUUGGGAAGCCUCUCCCAGCAGCGCCCAAAGGUUCCAGGUUGUCGGCAGGCAAGCCCAAGAGCAGGCAGAAAGCUCCCAGGAAGCCCCGGCGGUGGGCGGCAUGGCCAGGCUCACAGCGCAGGAGGGGACGGCCACACCAGCCCGCCCAUACAGCCAUGCUGCCCUUGCUCUCCACCUGCAGAACUGUCUGCAGGUUGCUCAAGGCAAAUAUUCCCAUGCCCUUGCAAGAAAUCUUAUCCUGCCGGGACUUCUGAAGCUGGGGAGAUCUAGCCUGCCGGCUCCUGAAGGCUCUGCUCCUAAGGCAUGUAUGGGGGCUACAGGGAAGGGGAUCCCCAUUUCCUCUCUGGGACCAGGGACUCCAAGCCUCCCUUCUGGCCGCUGAUUGUCUUUGGGGGUGGGCAGCUAU